RNAcentral lists this ribosomal RNA (448 nucleotides) under uncultured bacterium. Its description in RNAcentral is "bacterial SSU rRNA". It matches the Rfam family "Bacterial small subunit ribosomal RNA", at positions 329 to 794 of the family's 1533-position model. The record is from RNAcentral.
GUCCAGACUCCUACGGGAGGCAGCAGUGGGGAAUAUUGCACAAUGGGGGAAACCCUGAUGCAGCGAUGCCGCGUGGAGGAAGAAGGUUUUCGGAUUGUAAACUCCUUUUAUCAGGGACGAUAAUGACGGUACCUGAGUAAGAAGCCCCGGCUAACUACGUGCCAGCAGCCGCGGUAAUACGUAGGGGGCAAGCGUUAUCCGGAUUUACUGGGUGUAAAGGGAGCGUAGACGGCAGAGCAAGUCUGAAGUGAAAGCCCGCGGCCCAACUGCGGGACUGCUUUGGAAACUGCCCGGCUAGAGUGCUGGAGAGGUAAGUGGAAUUCCUAGUGUAGCGGUGAAAUGCGUAGAUAUUAGGAGGAACACCAGUGGCGAAGGCGGCUUACUGGACAGUAACUGACGUUGAGGCUCGAAAGCGUGGGGAGCAAACAGGAUUAGAUACCCGUGUACA